RNAcentral lists this transfer RNA (58 nucleotides) under Salmo salar (Atlantic salmon). It matches the Rfam family "tRNA", at positions 8 to 63 of the family's 71-position model. From Rfam's summary of the family: Transfer RNA (tRNA) molecules are approximately 80 nucleotides in length. Lineage: Eukaryota; Metazoa; Chordata; Actinopteri; Salmoniformes; Salmonidae. The record is from Rfam by way of RNAcentral.
UAGCUCACUUGGUAGAGCAUGGUGCUUCUAACACCAGGGUACUGGGUUCAAUUCCCGG